This is a long non-coding RNA of Dermochelys coriacea (leatherback sea turtle), 2745 nucleotides long. RefSeq lists it as uncharacterized. The record is from RefSeq and is a predicted model, not a curated record. Lineage: Eukaryota; Metazoa; Chordata; Testudines; Dermochelyidae. The transcript has 3 exons.
CACGAAAGCUUAUGCUCAAAUAAAUUUGUUAGUCUCUAAGGUGCCACAAGUACUCCUUUUCUUUUUGCGGAUACAGACUAACACAGCUACUACUCUGAAAUCUCUCCAUGAUGACAACCAACAACUCUCCAAUGCCACUCACAAAGUAUUCAAAUAAGAACCCAUACUGCAAUUCACCCAAGAAUUUAAGGAUAUCAUCAAACCUUUCACAAAACAACUCUAAGAGAAACUCUACAACUUCAUACUGCAGACCCACACCAGUGACCAGCAUGCUGCCCAAGAUAUACAGACAAGGGAAACCAGGCAGACUUAUCAUAUCUGGUCAUGGCACUCUUAUUGAAGGAAUAUCAGGACUCAUAGAAACCAUCUUCAAACCACUCAUCACAUAAAGAGCCAGUUUCCUCCAGGACAAACUGACUUCCUCCAGAAACUCUGCAACAUUAACAACCUCCCUCAAAACACCAUCCUUGCUACCAUGGAUGUCACCUCCCUCUACAUCAACAUCUCUCACCAUGACUGCAUCAUGACCUGCUUCUAAUAUCUAUAAGACAAUGGGCAACAUUCAGAAAUCCACCCCAAAUACAUUGCCAAACUCAGCCAUUUCAUCCUCACCCAGAAAAAAUUUACAUUCAACAGCAAAUACUUUGUAGAAACCAUGGGAAUAGCUAUAGGACAGCUCCCCUGUCAACCUCUUCCCAGGCCACCUCAAGGAAGUAUUUCUGGAAAAAUGCACCACAAAACCAGUGAUUUACCUGAAAUACAUCAAUGAUAUUUUCAUUCUUUGGACAGAUGGCCUGAACUCCCUCAUAGACUUCCAGCACAAUACCAAUGAACCUUUGAAGUGGAUUCUUCUGAAGGUUACCCUUAAAGUAAAGUUUAUUGAAGCAGUGAAGAUGGCAACAUGGAGUCUGGUGAUGAAGGGAGCUGUAUGCUCUUUCUUCCCCCACUUGUGUUUGCUGAAAUGCAAAUUAUUCUGUUUCCUACCAUCUCCUUCUGCAGUCUUGAAGAUCCUGUUUACUACUUGUACGUAAACUGAGUCCAAGAUCAUAGAAUCAUAGGACUGGAAAGGCCCUCGAGAGGUUUUCUAGUCCAGUCCCCGCACUCAAGGCGAGAGUAAGUAUUACCUAUACAUUUGCUAAAUCAAAAACCAAAGACAAAGUAAAAAUAGCUUUUGAGAUACAUAUAAUUGACAAGCAAUUAUUAAAACAAGCUACAGUUAUACCUUCCCAUUGCUUAUAAUUGAAGAUUGAGGAAGCUAAAACUUAUUUACAAAUCAGGGCCCAGAUCCUCACUGUGUCAAGUUCUGCUUGACAUAGCAGAAAAGAGUGGAGGCUAAGGUGGUUUUAAAUCUCUCACUAUCCCUGGACCUGCUGUGGGGAAGACCAGUCUCCAGCAAAAUUUAAAAUAGCCUUCUGGCUGCUCUAAAUUUUGCCAAACAACAGUGACUCCCAAUAGGCAGUUCUGCAGCCAAAGGUCACUGGGUACAACAUACUCUGGCCAUAUCCCCUCCCACCUUCCUCAUGCUCCUAGCAUGCUCUCUGUGCCAGUGGGGACUGCAAUCUUCCUCCCCAAAUAGUGCUGCAGUAGGAUUGAUGGGGGCUAUUUUGGGCAAAGUAAAUGGCAAACAACUUAGUGUGGACAAGGAUUACAAUUUCUUUCUACUCUGAGGAGUGCCUAGUUACUCUGAUUCUUUAUUUCCUAAUCCACAAUUAGACUGCUCCAUAACUUGUGGUUAUCUGUUUUCCUUAAUAUUAUCAUGGAAAAUCCAAGUAAUCUGUGUUCCUUUCAAAUAUUUUUAAAAAAUUAGAAAGCACAGUUUACCCUAGAAUCUGUGAUGCUAUUACCCCAUCCAUUUAUACUUAUUCUGCACAUUACCCUAUUGUUAAAAAUAUUUUCAGUCAAUUUCCUCAGAAACAGUGGUGUGACUCUGAUCUACAGUGAAGGUGAUUACGUCCUCUUCUGAGGAUGGUUAACUAUGAAGAAUUGUCCAAUCUUGAGGAAUAUCUGGUGCUCUUAGGGAUAAUUGACAAAUCCUUAUCAUGGUCUCCACGUUUUCACAUUUUCAGAGCUCUUGGAUAAAUAGCAUGUACUCCUGGAGAUUUACUGCACUUGAGUUUCUCAAGCUGCCCAUAACCUCUUCCUUAGAGACCUCCAGGUCUGUUAAAGCUAUACUCUAAUUUCCCGUAAAACAUGCCCUUGGGAUAUUAAUUUCUCUAUUGCCUUCUAUAUUAAAAACAAAUGAAUUAUUUUCAUUAAACUUCUGUAUAACUUUUCCAUUCUCUUUCAUUUCCCCCUUUGGUACUAUAUAGGACCUAAGGAUAGACAAAAAGCUUUCUUGAAUGAAACGUCUUUAAAAAAAUCUAUUAUUUUCCUUAAUAUCUUUGGUUAUUUGUUCUUCAUAUUGUAUAUUUUCCCUUUUAAUUCCUGGGUCCAAUUUCUAGGUUUGACUAAGGAAAAAAAGAAACAUUUCUUCACUUCCACAUGAGAUUGAAGCGUGAUGUGGAUGAAAAUUAUUCAUAUAGCGCCUGUGAUUAAAUGUUGAAUGGGUAGCUCUGAAUAAAGGUAAAGUUGCCCAACACUUUCCAUUAUAAGACGACCCUUAUUUCAGUUGUUUGUAACAUUGUUAAACUUUAACCAGUCAGGCUGAAGUUUCCCAUGUUGGAUGUCUAUCUCUGACUGAAUUUUUAUUUUAAAGUUUCUGCAAAACAGUUCAGCCGUUUCCGAUAAUAAAAUUAGAGGAAAAUA